GACGAACCGAGCGAACGUUAUUCGGAAUCACUGGGCGUAAAGGGUGCGUAGGCGGUUAUGUAAGACAGAUGUGAAAUGCCCGGGCUUAACCUGGGAACUGCAUUUGUGACUGCAUGGCUAGAGUUUGGCAGAGGGGGGUAGAAUUCCACGUGUAGCAGUGAAAUGCGUAGAUAUGUGGAGGAACACCGAUGGCGAAGGCAGCCCCCUGGGUCAAGACUGACGCUCAUGCACGAAAGCGUGGGGAGCAAACAGG
Molecule: ribosomal RNA, 253 nt
Filed under: uncultured bacterium
Lineage: Bacteria
Description: partial 16S ribosomal RNA
Rfam family: Bacterial small subunit ribosomal RNA
Source: RNAcentral